RNAcentral lists this ribosomal RNA (420 nucleotides) under uncultured bacterium. Its description in RNAcentral is "bacterial SSU rRNA". It matches the Rfam family "Bacterial small subunit ribosomal RNA", at positions 356 to 773 of the family's 1533-position model. The record is from RNAcentral.
AAGGAAUAUUGGUCAAUGGGCGCAAGCCUGAACCAGCCAUGCCGCGUGCAGGAUGACGGCCCUAUGGGUUGUAAACUGCUUUUGUACGGGAAAAAACCCUCCGACGUGUCGGGGGCUGAUGGUACCGUAAGAAUAAGGAUCGGCUAACUCCGUGCCAGCAGCCGCGGUAAUACGGAGGAUCCUAGCGUUAUCCGGAUUUAUUGGGUUUAAAGGGUGCGCAGGCGGAAUAAUAAGUCAGUGGUGAAAUCCUGCAGCUUAACUGCAGAACUGCCAUUGAUACUGUUAUUCUUGAGUAUAUUUGAAGUGGGCGGAAUGUGUCAUGUAGCGGUGAAAUGCUUAGAUAUGACACAGAACACCAAUUGCGAAGGCAGCUCACUAAGCUAUAACUGACGCUCAUGCACGAAAGCGUGGGGAUCAAAC